This 323-nucleotide long non-coding RNA is filed under the name Carica papaya (papaya). RNAcentral's name for it is "long non-coding RNA (CPAP_LNC009857)". The record is from RNAcentral. Lineage: Eukaryota; Viridiplantae; Streptophyta; Magnoliopsida; Brassicales; Caricaceae.
UCUAAGUUCACCCCUUUAAUGGUUACCUACGAAAGUAAAAAAGAUAGGAAAUUUCUAUAGGGCCUUUGUGCCGACAUCCAUGAUCGAGUUGUGAUGCUGAGAUCUAACUUGUAUGUGGAGGUGCUAGAACAUGUCCAGUUGGCUGAAGACCUCAUCUCAGUCAGACACCAACACAUUGCUCGAGUUCGUACCCAACAACAAUAACCCCAAUAGCUUAGAAGGAGAUUGCCUGACCUAGUAAGUAGCCACCCCGAUAAACGAACCGGAGUUGUCCUUUCCCUUACUUUGUCUCUACCUACGGGUCAGCUUGCCUAACCUACCCA